RNAcentral lists this ribosomal RNA (457 nucleotides) under Clarias gariepinus (North African catfish). RNAcentral's name for it is "partial large subunit ribosomal RNA". The record is from RNAcentral. Lineage: Eukaryota; Metazoa; Chordata; Actinopteri; Siluriformes; Clariidae.
CCGGGAAACGCUCAUGGCAAUGAACCCAGAGGCACUUUGGGACGGCCGCGGGUAUUUUGACCGUGCGAAGGUAGCGCAAUCACUUGUCUUUUAAUGAGACUGUAUGAUGGUGUACGAGAGCUGACUGUCUCUCGUUCGAGUCAUGAAUUGAUCUGGCCCGUGCAGAAGCGGACUAAAAAUUCCAGGACGAGAAGACCCUUUGGAGCUUACGAUACCAGAUCAACUGUGUUCAAGAACCCAGAAAGUUAACCAAAUAGCAACUGAUCCUUAUCUUCUGUUGUUGACGACGCGUGUGUAAACAAGUUCCAGGCGAUGGCCCACCCAUACCAGGAAUAUUCUAUUCCGAUCUACCUAUACCGCGAGCCAUAGACAGUCCCAGGUCACGUUCCUUCGAGUCAUCCAGGAGUACAGCCGUGGUCGGGACGAGGCACCAUUAGGUGAUGUCAUGUAGCAAAGC